GAUGAAUGCUGGCGGCGUGCCUAAUACAUGCAAGUCGUGCGGUAACACUUCGGGUGACGAGCGGCGGACGGCUGAGUAAUGCAUUGGAACGUACCCCAAACUGAGGGAUAACUGCCCGAAAGGGUAGCUAAUACCGCAUGUGCUCUUCGGAGUAAAGCUACGGCGGGUUGUGAGCGGCCAAUGUUCGAUUAGCUUGUUGGUGAGGUAAUGGCUCACCAAGGCGACGAUCGAUAGCGGGUGUGGGAGGAUGAACCGACAGACUGGAACUGAGACACGGUCCAGACUCCUACGGGAGGCAGCAGUGGGGAAUCUUAGACAAUGGGGGCAACCCUGAUCUAGCCAUGCCGCGUGAGUGAUGAAGGCCUUAGGGUUGUAAAGCUCUUUCGGCUGGGAAGAUAAUGACGGUACCAGCAGAAGAAGCCCCGGCUAACUCCGUGCCAGCAGCCGCCGUAA
Molecule: ribosomal RNA, 453 nt
Filed under: uncultured bacterium
Lineage: Bacteria
Description: partial 16S ribosomal RNA
Rfam family: Bacterial small subunit ribosomal RNA
Source: RNAcentral